Molecule: ribosomal RNA, 1202 nt
Filed under: uncultured bacterium
Lineage: Bacteria
Description: bacterial SSU rRNA
Rfam family: Bacterial small subunit ribosomal RNA
Source: RNAcentral
UAGUUCGAGAAGGAAGGUCCCCAAUUGGACUGAGAAACGUCCAUCCUACGGAGGCAGCAGGAGGAUAUUGUCAUGACGAGUCUGAUCAGCAGUAGCGUGCAGAUGACGCCUAUGGGUGUAAACUGCUUUUAUAUAGGGAUAAGUCGGGGACGUGUCCCCGUUGUAGGUACUAUAUGAAUAAGACGGCUAAUCCGUGCCAGCAGCCGCGGUAAUACGGAAAGGUCCAGGCGUAUCCGGAUUUAUUGGGUUUAAAGGGAGCGCAGGCUGAUGAUUAAGCGUGACGUGAAAUGUAGCCGCUCAACGGCUGAACUGCGUCGCGAACUGGUUAUCUUGAGUGAGUUCGAUGUUGGCGGAAUUCGUGGUGUAGCGGUGAAAUGCUUAGAUAUCACGAAGAACUCCGAUUGCGAAGGCAGCCAACAAGGCCUUUACUGACGCUAAAGCUCGAAGGUGCGGGUAUCGAACAGGAUUAGAUACCCUGGUAGUCCGCACGGUAAACGAUGGAUGCCCGCUGUUUGCGAUAUACUGUGAGCGGCCAAGAGAAAUCGUUAAGCAUCCCACCUGGGGAGUACGCCGGCAACGGUGAAACUCAAAGGAAUUGACGGGGGCCCGCACAAGCGGAGGAACAUGUGGUUUAAUUCGAUGAUACGCGAGGAACCUUACCCGGGCUUGAACUGCCAGCGAACGAUUCAGAGAUGAUGAGGUCCUUCGGGACGCUGGUGGAGGUGCUGCAUGGUUGUCGUCAGCUCGUGCCGUGAGGUGUCGGCUUAAGUGCCAUAACGAGCGCAACCCUUUUCUUUAGUUGCCAUCAGGUAAUGCUGGGCACUCUGGAGAUACUGCCACCGUAAGGUGUGAGGAAGGUGGGGAUGACGUCAAAUCAGCACGGCCCUUACGUCCGGGGCUACACACGUGUUACAAUGGGGGGUACAGAGAGUCGGUGCAUGGCAAUAUGCAUCUAAUCCUUAAAGCCUUCCUCAGUUCGGAUUGGGGUCUGCAACCCGACCCCAUGAAGCUGGAUUCGCUAGUAAUUGCGCAUCAGCCAUGGCGCGGUGAAUACGUUCCCGGGCCUUGUACACACCGCCCGUCAAGCCAUGAAAGCCGGGGGCGCUUGAAGUCCGUGACCGCAAGGAUCGGCCUAGAGCGAAACUGGUAAUUGGGGCUAAGUCGUAACAAGGUAGCCGUAAAUCACUGGCCGUCGUAACGGC